UAGUCCACGCCGUAAACGAUGAUAACUAGUUGUUUGCAAUAGAUCGUAAGCGACAAAGCGAAAGCAUUAAGUUAUCCACCUGGGGAGUACGUUGGCAACAAUGAAACUCAAAGGAAUUGACGGGGGCCCGCACAAGCGGAGGAACAUGUGGUUUAAUUCGAUGAUACGCGAGGAACCUUACCUGGACUUAAAUGUAUAGUGACAGCUUUAGAGAUAGAGUUUUCUUCGGACACUUUACAAGGUGCUGCAUGGUUGUCGUCAGCUCGUGCCGUGAGGUGUCGGGUUAAGUCCCAUAACGAGCGCAACCCACGUUGUAGUUGCCAGCAGGUUAAGCUGGGCACUCUAAAGAAACUGCCGGUGAUAAGCCGGAGGAAGGUGUGGAUGACGUCAAGUCCUCAUGGCCCUUACGGGUUGGGCUACACACGUGCUACAAUGGUAGUGACAAUGGGUUAAUCCCCAAAAACUAUCUCAGUUCGGAUUGGGGUCUGCAACUCGACCCCAUGAAGUCGGAAUCGCUAGUAAUCGACG
This 528-nucleotide ribosomal RNA is filed under the name uncultured bacterium. Its description in RNAcentral is "bacterial SSU rRNA". It matches the Rfam family "Bacterial small subunit ribosomal RNA", at positions 791 to 1347 of the family's 1533-position model. The record is from RNAcentral.